AAUGGGCGCAAGCCUGAUCCAGCAAUGCCGCGUGGGUGAAGAAGGCCUUCGGGUUGUAAAGCCCUUUAAGCGGGGAGGAAAGCCGGGGUGUAAAUAACGCCUCGGGGUGACGUUACCCGCAGAAUAAGCACCGGCUAACUCCGUGCCAGCAGCCGCGGUAAUACGGGGGGUGCGAGCGUUAAUCGGAAUGACUGGGCGUAAAGCGUGCGUAGGCGGUGUAAUCAGUCAGCCGUGAAAGCCCCGGGCUUAACCUGGGAAUGGCGGUUGAGACGGUUAAACUAGAGUGGGCUAGAGGACUGUGGAACUCCCGGUGUAGCGGUGAAAUGCGUAGAGAUCGGGAAGAACACCGAUGGCGAAGGCAGCAGUCUGGGGCCACACUGACGCUGAGGCACGACGGCGUGGGGAGCAAA
Molecule: ribosomal RNA, 410 nt
Filed under: uncultured bacterium
Lineage: Bacteria
Description: bacterial SSU rRNA
Rfam family: Bacterial small subunit ribosomal RNA
Source: RNAcentral